AAAAAAAAAAAAAAGGGAAAGGGAAGUGAAUUAAGCAAAAUCAAACCUCAAAUCCUUGUCCAACUCUAAUACAUCAUAAUUAAGUUAAGCCACUAAUUACAAACCCAAGUUUACCAAUAUUGAACAAAAAUGAGUUUUCUUACAUCUUGGAACUGAAUAGAAGAAAUGAAGAACCUUGUACUUGAGUCCAUAUUUCAUCUUCUUCGAUAAUCUCUUUUUUUCCUUCUUAUUUUCUUUCCCCUUUCCUUUCUCUAUCUCUUCUUUCCUUUUCUCUAACUCUUUC
Molecule: long non-coding RNA, 283 nt
Filed under: Olea europaea (common olive)
Lineage: Eukaryota; Viridiplantae; Streptophyta; Magnoliopsida; Lamiales; Oleaceae
Description: long non-coding RNA (OEUR_LNC005682)
Source: RNAcentral